ACGUGACCCAUUUUAAAGUUAUGCAAACCAUGACUAGAGACUGAAAGAACUCACCAGACAUCACAUGGUUAUCUAGGAAAAAGCUGGGAUUCAUCCAGGGUUUGACCUCCCAUUAGCCUUGGCUAUUGAGGCUCUCUCUGGUCUGCUCCAGUUCACUGAAGAUACAGAGAUGAAGAUGACCUUCAUGGAGCUUGGGCUGUAUCACUUUCAAGAUAUGGCACAACAAUGUAUGGCAUCUGAGUCAAGGUCAUGCAAGGAUCAAGCCAAAUCCCAUAUCAUGAAGUCAUUGAUGCAGUCCUAAGCAGAGGCCCUCAUGGCAGAAAAUUGAGAACUCCAGCCAACAGCCAAGCAAGUGAGCUUAGAUGUGGAUUCCCCAGCCCUGAAGAACCUUUCAAAUUGGUGCAGUCCCAGCAAAUGCCUUUACUACAACCUCUUGAGGGAUA
Tupaia belangeri chinensis (Chinese tree shrew) is the source of this 443-nucleotide long non-coding RNA. RefSeq lists it as uncharacterized. The transcript is spliced from 3 exons. The record is from RefSeq and is a predicted model, not a curated record. NCBI's taxonomy places the organism in Eukaryota, Metazoa, Chordata, Mammalia, Scandentia, Tupaiidae.